UACGUAGGGGGCAAGCGUUGUCCGGAUUUAUUGGGCGUAAAGAGCGUGUAGGCGGUUCGGUAGGUCCGUUGUGAAAACUCGAGGCUCAACCUCGAGACGCCGAUGGAAACCAUCGAACUAGAGUCCGGAAGAGGAGAGUGGAAUUCCUGGUGUAGCGGUGAAAUGCGCAGAUAUCAGGAAGAACACCCGUGGCGAAGGCGGCUCUCUGGUACGUGACUGACGCUGAGACGCGAAAGCGUGGGGAGCAAACAGG
RNAcentral lists this ribosomal RNA (253 nucleotides) under uncultured bacterium. RNAcentral describes it as "partial 16S ribosomal RNA". It matches the Rfam family "Bacterial small subunit ribosomal RNA", at positions 524 to 776 of the family's 1533-position model. The record is from RNAcentral.